UGGAUUAAGUGGAGGCGUACUCGGUUGAGUACGUUUUCACCUUCGGGAAAGCGCAUUUUCCCUCUGCUUCAGCUCAAAAAAAGUCCCUGAACUUCAACCCUUCAUAUCUUUUUAACCACAACUCCAAAUGAGCCCCUCCGAGAGAGAACUGUUUCCGGCAAAUCUUUUCGCGGCUUCACCGCACUCCUUCCC
Non-coding RNA from Aegilops tauschii subsp. strangulata, 192 nucleotides. The record is from RefSeq and is a predicted model, not a curated record. NCBI's taxonomy places the organism in Eukaryota, Viridiplantae, Streptophyta, Magnoliopsida, Poales, Poaceae.